UUGAGUCGAGGUUUCAACACU
This is a non-coding RNA of Caenorhabditis elegans, 21 nucleotides long. The record is from Ensembl. NCBI's taxonomy places the organism in Eukaryota, Metazoa, Nematoda, Chromadorea, Rhabditida, Rhabditidae.